RNAcentral lists this ribosomal RNA (495 nucleotides) under uncultured bacterium. RNAcentral describes it as "partial 16S ribosomal RNA". It matches the Rfam family "Bacterial small subunit ribosomal RNA", at positions 28 to 507 of the family's 1533-position model. The record is from RNAcentral.
GACGAACGCUGGCGGCGUGCCUAAUACAUGCAAGUAGAACGCUGAAGGAGGGGCUUGCUUCUCCGGAUGAGUUGCGAACGGGUGAGUAACGCGUAGGUAACCUGCCUGGUAGCGGGGGAUAACUAUUGGAAACGAUAGCUAAUACCGCAUAAGAGUAGAUGUCGCAUGACAUUUGCUUAAAAGGUGCAACUGCACCACUACCAGAUGGACCUGCGUUGUAUUAGCUAGUUGGUGAGGUAACGGCUCACCAAGGCAACGAUACAUAGCCGACCUGAGAGGGGGAUCGGCCACACUGGGACUGAGACACGGCCCAGACUCCUACGGGAGGCAGCAGUAGGGAAUCUUCGGCCAUGGACGGAAGUCUGACCGAGCAACGCCGCGUGAGUGAAGAAGGUUUUCGGAUCGUAAAGCUCUGUUGUAAGGGAAGAACGAGUGUGAGAGUGGAAAGUUCACACUGUGACGGUACCUUACCAGAAAGGGACGGCUAACUACGUG